This 218-nucleotide long non-coding RNA is filed under the name Lathyrus oleraceus (garden pea). RNAcentral describes it as "Pisum sativum (pea) long non-coding RNA (PSAT_LNC039778)". The record is from RNAcentral. Lineage: Eukaryota; Viridiplantae; Streptophyta; Magnoliopsida; Fabales; Fabaceae.
GCGGACUUAAAACAAAGUGAAAUGUGGAUCUCGACCCACUAGAAAAUCUUCCAACAGGAUUUUCCUAAUCAAAUGGUGAGGGUCAUUUGUUUUGAGUAAAAUAAUGGGAGCAUAUUUAAUUAAAGGCCUAAUUAAAUAUGUUAUUUUAAUGAUACUUAUAUUUUCAUAGUUUUCAUGUAGAUUAUCAUGACAACAAACACCUCUAACAACACUUUGCG